RNAcentral lists this ribosomal RNA (260 nucleotides) under Jianyunia aff. sakaguchii. RNAcentral describes it as "partial large subunit ribosomal RNA". It matches the Rfam family "Eukaryotic large subunit ribosomal RNA", at positions 287 to 551 of the family's 3401-position model. Lineage: Eukaryota; Fungi; Basidiomycota; Agaricostilbomycetes; Agaricostilbales; Jianyuniaceae. The record is from RNAcentral.
UCUAAUUGGGUGGUAAAUUCCAUCUAAAGCUAAAUAUUGGCGAGAGACCGAUAGCGAACAAGUACCGUGAGGGAAAGAUGAAAAGCACUUUGGAAAGAGAAUGAAACAGUAUGUGAAAUUGCUGGAAGGGAAACGAUUGAAGUUAGACUUGCGUUUGCAACAUUCAGCCUUUCUUCGGACUGGUGUAUUUGUUGCUUUUGCAGGCCAGCAUCAGUUUGCUUUGGUGUAUAAGGGUAAGGAGAAUGUGGCAUCCUCGUGAU